This 429-nucleotide ribosomal RNA is filed under the name Bacteroidota bacterium. RNAcentral describes it as "Bacteroidetes bacterium partial 16S ribosomal RNA". It matches the Rfam family "Bacterial small subunit ribosomal RNA", at positions 355 to 776 of the family's 1533-position model. The record is from RNAcentral. Lineage: Bacteria; Pseudomonadati; Bacteroidota.
UAGGGAAUCUUCCGCAAUGGACGCAAGUCUGACGGAGCAACGCCGCGUGAGUGAAGAAGGAUUUCGGUUCGUAAAACUCUGUUGUUAGAGAAGAACAGCGCAUAGAGUAACUGUUAUGCGUGUGACGGUAUCUAACCAGAAAGCCACGGCUAACUACGUGCCAGCAGCCGCGGUAAUACGUAGGUGGCAAGCGUUGUCCGGAUUUAUUGGGCGUAAAGCGAGCGCAGGCGGUCAAUUAAGUCUGAUGUGAAAGCCCCCGGCUCAACCGGGGAGGGUCAUUGGAAACUGGUUGACGUGGGUGCAGAAGAGGAGAGUGGAAUUCCAUGUGUAGCGGUGAAAUGCGUAGAUAUAUGGAGGAACACCAGUGGCGAAGGCGACUCUCUGGUCUGUAACUGACGCAGAGGCUCGAAAGCGUGGGUAGCAAACAGG